RNAcentral lists this ribosomal RNA (253 nucleotides) under uncultured bacterium. Its description in RNAcentral is "partial 16S ribosomal RNA". It matches the Rfam family "Bacterial small subunit ribosomal RNA", at positions 524 to 776 of the family's 1533-position model. The record is from RNAcentral.
UACGGGGGGGGCAAGCGUUGUUCGGAAUUACUGGGCGUAAAGGGCUCGUAGGCGGCCAACUAAGUCGGAUGUGAAAUCCCCAGGCUUAACCUGGGAACUGCAUCCGAUACUGGAUGGCUUGAAUCCGGGAGAGGGAUGCAGAAUUCCUGGUGUAGCGGUGAAAUGCGUAGAUAUCAGGAGGAACACCGGUGGCGAAGGCGGUUCUCUGGGAAUAUCCUGACGCUGAGGAGCGAAAGUGUGGGGAGCGAACAGG